RNAcentral lists this ribosomal RNA (600 nucleotides) under uncultured Acidaminococcus sp. Its description in RNAcentral is "bacterial SSU rRNA". It matches the Rfam family "Bacterial small subunit ribosomal RNA", at positions 9 to 587 of the family's 1533-position model. The record is from RNAcentral. Lineage: Bacteria; Bacillati; Bacillota; Negativicutes; Acidaminococcales; Acidaminococcaceae.
GAGUUUGAUCCUGGCUCAGGACGAACGCUGGCGGCGUGCUUAACACAUGCAAGUCGAACGGAAAACUAAUUUCGGUUAGUUUUUAGUGGCGAACGGGUGAGUAACGCGUGGGCAACCUGCCCUUUAGUUGGGGACAACAUUCCGAAAGGGAUGCUAAUACCGAAUGAGCUUCAUUAGCCGCAUGGCUUUUGAAGGAAAGAUGGCCUCUUUACAAUGCUAUCGCUAAAGGAUGGGCCCGCGUUUGAUUAGUUAGUUGGUAGGGUAACGGCCUACCAAGACGAUGAUCAAUAGCCGGUCUGAGAGGAUGAACGGCCACAUUGGGACUGAGACACGGCCCAAACUCCUACGGGAGGCAGCAGUGGGGAAUCUUCCGCAAUGGACGAAAGUCUGACGGAGCAACGCCGCGUGAGUGAUGAAGGUUUUCGGAUCGUAAAACUCUGUUGUUUAGGACGAAUGUGCUAUAUAUUAAUACUAUAUAGUAUUGACGGUACUAAACGAGAAAGCCACGGCUAACUACGUGCCAGCAGCCGCGGUAAUACGUAGGUGGCAAGCGUUGUCCGGAAUUAUUGGGCGUAAAGAGCAUGUAGGUGGAUUAUUAAG